AAAAUAUACCUUUUAUAAAGUACCUAUGGCAAACGUGUUAGCAAACAAACGUUGUCAUUGUAGGCAAAGAGCACAACCCUCCUCCUCCCCUUGCAUCUCCGGUCUUCAUCACGAACGGCUCCUGGGUCCUCCUCCGGCAGGCCGCUACUGUCGGGUCCUCGGUUUGGUCUUCGGUCUCCUCACGCUACCACCGGUGUCUAGACUCCAUCGGGGGAUUAACUUUCGGCUUUCUACAACUUAAAAAUCAUUUCAUAAGGAUGGAGUAGAAUCUCCAAAGACUGUACAAUUCAUAUUAUGCAUAUGUACAAUAAAUCUUGCAUAUCUGCAACAAACUCUC
Perca fluviatilis (European perch) is the source of this 337-nucleotide long non-coding RNA. RefSeq lists it as uncharacterized. The transcript is spliced from 2 exons. Lineage: Eukaryota; Metazoa; Chordata; Actinopteri; Perciformes; Percidae. The record is from RefSeq and is a predicted model, not a curated record.